CUCUUUUUUUUUCCCCUUAUUUUUCUCUUUUUUUUCCCCUUAUUAAUUCGAAAAUGUUUUAAAAGAAAUUCGAUUGUACAUUUAUGUAUGUGGGUUCUAGUUUGCGUUAGUUGGAUAACUUUAUAAGUGACUGUUGUUUUUCAUUUGGAUAUAUAUCUGUGAAUUGCUUUUAAUUUGUUGUAUCACAAGUAGGUUGUCCACCUGUCCUCUUGUCGAUUAGCUAGCUAAAACUAUGGUCACCUUGUAAUCUCCUUAAGAUUCCUAAAAAUGUCAACUCCAUUUCUCACACCAACCACCCUCUCUAUUACUGGUCCAAUCUUUUGUUUCUUGGUUUAGUGUAUAAAUUCGCCAAUCCAAUAAAAACAAUAGUAAAAAUGUCCUCAUUAGUCAUAUUACCUGAUAAGCCUUACUUUAGUUU
RNAcentral lists this unclassified non-coding RNA (418 nucleotides) under Hevea brasiliensis (rubber tree). The record is from RNAcentral. Lineage: Eukaryota; Viridiplantae; Streptophyta; Magnoliopsida; Malpighiales; Euphorbiaceae.